GUCCGUACGAAGCAAGUGAACUGUGAAGCUCUAUGCACUUAAAAAUUGUAUUCUUUUAAACAGAUUGCACUUAAUCUAUAUCAAAAGCACUUAUUACUGGUUGUUAAACCUUGUUUGUUUCACAGACUACCUUUAUUUUAUUCUGUUGGAUGGCUGGUGGUUAAAAUAUUGGCCAUUUAGGGCUGAAAUUUCAUGCAGGUUUUAAGCAGUAAAGUGAAUAAACUUUGCAUCAGACCAUACUGUCUACAUAUAUAGUUGAAAGCAACAGUCUUUGUACAUCUAGGCUUCAUAUUUGAUCAUAUUUCAGCCAGGAUCUGAGCAAAAAGAAGCAUAUUUCCAUC
RNAcentral lists this long non-coding RNA (341 nucleotides) under Mytilus galloprovincialis (Mediterranean mussel). The record is from RNAcentral. Lineage: Eukaryota; Metazoa; Mollusca; Bivalvia; Mytilida; Mytilidae.